AUUGAACGCUGGCGGCAUGCCUUACACAUGCAAGUCGAACGGUAACAGGUCUUCGGAUGCUGACGAGUGGCGAACGGGUGAGUAAUACAUCGGAACGUGCCUAGUAGUGGGGGAUAACUACUCGAAAGAGUGGCUAAUACCGCAUGAGAUCUACGGAUGAAAGCAGGGGAUCGCAAGACCUUGUGCUACUAGAGCGGCCGAUGGCAGGUUAGGUAGUUGGUGGGAUAAAAGCUUACCAAGCCGACGAUCUGUAGCUGGUCUGAGAGGACGAUCAGCCACACGGGGGCGGACAAACGGCCCGGACGCCGACGGGAGGCAGCAGGGGGGAAUUUUGGACAAUGGGCGCAAGCCUGAUCCAGCAAUGCCGCGUGCAGGAUGAAGGCCUUCGGGUUGUAAACUGCUUUUGUACGGAACUAAAAGCCCCGGGUUAAUACCCUGGGGUCCAUGACGGUACCGUAAGAAUAAGCACCGGCUAACUACGUGCCAGCCGCCGCCGUAA
This 499-nucleotide ribosomal RNA is filed under the name uncultured bacterium. RNAcentral's name for it is "partial 16S ribosomal RNA". It matches the Rfam family "Bacterial small subunit ribosomal RNA", at positions 30 to 523 of the family's 1533-position model. The record is from RNAcentral.